Molecule: long non-coding RNA, 334 nt
Organism: Rhipicephalus microplus (southern cattle tick)
Lineage: Eukaryota; Metazoa; Arthropoda; Arachnida; Ixodida; Ixodidae
Source: RefSeq, a predicted model, not a curated record
GUGCACGAAUCUCAUGCGCUUCCCAUCACGCUUGCUUCGUUGCCUGACACGCAGGUGCACACAAGCCUGCUCCAAUGGCUUCGCGGUUCGAACAGAUGUCGUGUACCGGAUGACCUGUGGACAUGCCUCCAGAGAACAUGGCCUUGUUCGUAACUGUAGGAACUCCAACAAGGCUUCAUGGUCAUGUACUUCACGCUGCACCGAGGCAAUUUCUACGGCGCGUACAAACGCUUGUUCACCUUCCGAGCACUCCUGUUGAUUGUUGUCCUGGGAGCCCUGGCGUACCUUAUUUCUUCCAUCGCCAGUCGUGCUCCCCAAGUGAAGACUUCUGAGC